Molecule: unclassified non-coding RNA, 2192 nt
Filed under: Schistocerca americana (American grasshopper)
Lineage: Eukaryota; Metazoa; Arthropoda; Insecta; Orthoptera; Acrididae
Description: ankyrin repeat and SOCS box protein 3-like, transcript variant X6
Source: RNAcentral
UACGAGCUGCAAACCCGAAGUGAGGCGAACACAACCGACUGGCUGAUAGAUCGUUACCGGGAUUUGACGUCCCUAGACACAAAUAACAAUAUAUAUAGAUAUACGCUCUCUACCUGUCAUUGUUCGUGAAGUGCAAUAUCUGUUGCAGCAACGGUGGUAAACAUGUUUGUUUACAUACAAAAGAACAUAUUUAGUCGGAAAACGUGUCCUGAAUGACAGCUGUGGUCCCAAGAAUCGAUUCCGUAGAACUGAACUGUUAGUUCUUGAAACAAAAGGAACUACACGAUUAAAAGUCUAAGGUACUAAAGCUGCUUGACACAGUGUGCGCUGGCAGUUGUAAAAUCCAGAUAAAGUUUCACGGCAAUAGAUGAUAUUAUACCAGUCAGAAAAGUAAUGGCUUACAUUUCCGCUGUUGUUGCCAGUAAGAACUGCAAUUCAGUGUAGACGACUAUGAGGAAAUCACGGGGUGCAUCAAGAACACCUCCACUGUCAGUCGCAGUUCGUGCAGGCGAUGUCAAUGCUGUCCGGAAACUGCUCAGAGAAGGAGAAAGUCCAAACGAUUUCGAUAACCGCGGCUGGACGCCACUGCACGAGGCAGCUGCAGGAGGGCAUGUCACAUGUGCUUUAUUGUUGCUGCAUUUUGGGCAAGACAUUAAGGAUGUAAUAACUCAUGAAGGAGAAACACCACUUUUCCUGUCUGUUAAUCCAGACUCUAAACCUGAUGUAAUUAAAGUUCUUCUGAACCACUCAGCAGAUAUGAAUCUUGGCAACAAUGAACGGUUCACACCAUUGCAUAAAGCUUGUGAGCUUGAUUUGGUAGACCGUGCCCACCUGCUUUUAGAGUCUGGUGCAGAUAUCAAUGCUGCAAAUAAUAAUCAUAGCCGGCCUAUUCAUGAAGCCAUCAAAAGAAGAUCUGUGGAAAUGGUCAAUCUGCUGGUGAAAUUUGAGGCGGACCUGAGCUUAAGAGAUUCAGAUGGGCGCACACCCAUCAUGACUGCUGCUUACAUGGGCUUUCACGAGGUCCUUAAAAAAUUGGAUACACCAGAAUUAAACAUAAUUAAUGAGAGUCAGUUCGGAGAGUCGUUAGGAGACACAGCACUGAUGUUGGCUGUUCGAGGAGGCUGUUUAAAAACAGUUGAAGUCCUUCUUGAGAUGGGUGCUGAUGCCAACAUCGUGAGAGAAGACACUCAACAAACAGCACUGCACCUCGCUGCACGGCGUGGUGACCCAAGGAUUGUUGAACUCAUCAUAAAGGCGACAGAAAUGGAAAAAGUGGCACUGUGCAAAAAUCCUUUGAUAAAUGCAAUUGAAAGCAUGCAAGUGAAAACGAUUGAAUUGCUAUUGGAGUGGAUGCAUGCCCAUCCACAUUUAGUAAGGAAGGUCAUUGAAUGCGAAAGUGGGGUAUUCGCGCAAGAUUACAAAGUGACUGGUCCUGUCUCGUACCUACUCUACUACAAGGCUGACCACAAGGAAUUAUUGCCUGUGCUGCAUCUGCUCCUUAAAAAUGGAUGUCCGGCAAAUGUGUCCUCCGUCAAUGAAUUUCCGCCAUUAACAGCAACUACAGCUUCAUCAGCACCGAAAAGAAUAAAGAAAGAAUGUAUUGAGAUUCUUUUAGACUAUGGUGCUGAUGCUGACCACCCAUUCCCCUGGUAUGCAAAGAUGUACCCCCUAUCAUUCCUGCCAGCAGCCUGGUAUUAUGCAUUGCGUCUUCACCCAGGUGAGAACUGGUUGAUCAGGUUGCUGAUGUCUGUAAGCAAAAAAUGUGACCCUGAUACGCUACUCUCAGUAGUGUAUGUUUAUGCCUAUUAUAAGACAAUGCUGGUUGAUGAAGAACUAUGUGCAUGUAGGUCUACACUUCAGCAUACAUUGGAUUUAGCUCUUGAACUAGGUCCCUCAGACUAUUCCAUGAUGUUCAGCAUUUGGGCGAAAUUUAGGAAAUCAGAUGGAAACAAAAAGGAAGACAUAAAAUUAUUAACUUCCAGAACAAGGAGCUUCCUCUGACAUAAUGGGGGAAAUGUUUGGAGAAGAGAGGAAUGAUGAGGCUUAAGAAUACAGGGACUGUCUGGAGAAGGACUGACUGGAGAAGGAGUGCAAAACCAGCAAGAAGAAACUACUCAGGAUGAUUUGAUUGUUCCACAAAUGUUAACACCAACACCACUCGCAAAGCUAUGCCGUAUCUUAGUCCGCAAACA